RNAcentral lists this transfer RNA (89 nucleotides) under Thalassoglobus neptunius. RNAcentral describes it as "Planctomycetes bacterium KOR42 tRNA-Ser". It matches the Rfam family "tRNA". From Rfam's summary of the family: Transfer RNA (tRNA) molecules are approximately 80 nucleotides in length. Their secondary structure includes four short double-helical elements and three loops (D, anti-codon, and T loops). Further hydrogen bonds mediate the characteristic L-shaped molecular structure. tRNAs have two regions of fundamental functional importance: the anti-codon, which is responsible for specific mRNA codon recognition, and the 3' end, to which the tRNAs corresponding amino acid is attached (by aminoacyl-tRNA synthetases). tRNAs cope with the degeneracy of the genetic code in two manners: having more than one tRNA (with a specific anti-codon) for a particular amino acid; and 'wobble' base-pairing, i.e. permitting non-standard base-pairing at the 3rd anti-codon position. The record is from RNAcentral. Lineage: Bacteria; Pseudomonadati; Planctomycetota; Planctomycetia; Planctomycetales; Planctomycetaceae.
GGAAGGGCAACCCGAUUGGUGACGGGAACCGGUUGGAAGCCGGUCGAACGUGAGCAACGUCUUAUGGGUUCAAAUCCCAUUCCUUCCGC